UAAUUUCUUUGAACCGAUAACGUAAUUAGGUAGGUUUAUCAGAAUAUUUUGCAUUGCACGUCUCGUCUAUUUAAGAAUACCACUGUUAUCAGCUCUUAAAAUUGUUGUAAUAGUAAGUACUAGUAAUUAAAGAGUAGUUCACGUAAAAUGAGUAUUGUAAAUCACCUCUGAAAUAUGGUAGUCUUUUGCCAUUCCGACUAACAAAUAGAUAUCGAUAAUUUUUCUCUGUGUGACGCCUCACAACCCGGCCUAAUUAUUCUCGAUGCUUCCCGGGGUUACGAGUAAAGGCCAGACCUUCCACGGCGAUUCGAGGCGACCGCUUUCAGAGUAUUUAAGAACAGGAAUUCGAGCACAAGUGAGUCAGUCAACGAACGAGCCGCGACGCGUGAUAUAAUUGUAUUCGAAUCGGAUUUAAUGAAAUGUAUAUAUUAGUUAUCGAAGUUAUUAUGUUUAGUUAAUUAAAUCAUAAAUUUGAGUUGUAAAUAAAUUAGAUGUGUUAGUUGGUGUUAUUUGUAAUUAUUAAAAUAAAUAAGUGAUGUAA
This is a long non-coding RNA of Diabrotica virgifera virgifera (western corn rootworm), 541 nucleotides long. RefSeq lists it as uncharacterized. The record is from RefSeq and is a predicted model, not a curated record. The transcript has 3 exons. Lineage: Eukaryota; Metazoa; Arthropoda; Insecta; Coleoptera; Chrysomelidae.